Molecule: non-coding RNA, 177 nt
Organism: Caenorhabditis elegans
Lineage: Eukaryota; Metazoa; Nematoda; Chromadorea; Rhabditida; Rhabditidae
Source: Ensembl
GGGGGGGUGCAUAGCUCAGUGCCUAUGCGCGCUGCUUGCAAUCACAAGGUCACAAGUUCGACCCCCACCCCCUAGGUCCUUCCAGCCUUAAAUGGGAAUUCAGUGUUCGUUCCACUGUCUUAUCGAAUUGUGAAAAGUAUUAAAAAUAACCAGGCUCAGACCUGAAGAAAAAAAAAC